This 303-nucleotide long non-coding RNA is filed under the name Papio anubis (olive baboon). Its description in RNAcentral is "lncRNA (ENSPANG00000048509.1)". Lineage: Eukaryota; Metazoa; Chordata; Mammalia; Primates; Cercopithecidae. The record is from RNAcentral.
AUGACUCUAGAAGAGACCCUUGCAAAGCAGGGCGGGAUCACUAGUGUGAUCUCAGCUCACUGCAACCUCUGCCUCCUGGGUUCAAGAAGUUCUCAUCAUGUCUCAGCCUCCCCAAGGAGCUGGAAUUAUAGUCUCCCCUCCUGCCACUGUUCCUGCAGAUUUCAGCUCCAUGGGAGCAGGAAUCUUGUUUCCUCAUUGAACAUUAUGUUCUCAGCUCCUGGAAAAGUGCCCGUCACAGGGCAGAAGCUUUGAAAAGGCUUCAAGGCCAUCUUCAGGCAGGAUGUAAAGAGUAAGCUGCAAGCC